RNAcentral lists this small RNA (28 nucleotides) under Bombyx mori (domestic silkworm). RNAcentral describes it as "ovarian small RNA-29589". The record is from RNAcentral. Lineage: Eukaryota; Metazoa; Arthropoda; Insecta; Lepidoptera; Bombycidae.
UCUCAGUGGCUCUCGUCCAAUCCGGUGG